Long non-coding RNA from Numida meleagris (helmeted guineafowl), 2634 nucleotides. RefSeq lists it as uncharacterized. The record is from RefSeq and is a predicted model, not a curated record. NCBI's taxonomy places the organism in Eukaryota, Metazoa, Chordata, Aves, Galliformes, Numididae. The transcript has 5 exons.
UCCCAUGGCAGUGCUUUUAAGGACUGAUAAGGGCACUUGUAGCCUUCUGAGGGCCUUGAUCCAAGAAGCAUUAGCAGGAGUGGGGAGUGUGGUGGCAGUAUCAUUGUCAUUUUCAACAAUGGAAACUUUCACAAGGAGUACACCCACAAGAGAGCAAGAAGGAAGGAGAAUGAUCUUAAUGUGCCUAUUUCAAGGGGGAAAAAAAAGAACUGAGUAUUGAUCCUUGGAAAAUGAUCAACAAUUAAAAUAAAAUAUAGACAGCUACAAUCCCAGUGGUCGCAUUGAAGAAGGAAAUGCUUCAUUCACACCUCAUAAGAGCGUUCAGAACAUGAGUGGAGGGCAGAUUUCUUCCUUCAUCAGUGGUUACGAGGCAUCAUAGAAAUACUUUCAUAAACAAAGAAAUUCAGUACAUCCGCCACAGCCUACAAAAGACGCCGCUGUGAUCCUGGAAAUGCUGGGAUUCCCAGGAACACCUGCAGCAAAGCAGAGUUUGGCCAUUCAUCCUUCAAGGACACUGAACGUGCUGCUACCUCAACCUUCGUGGCGAGUCAUUUGUAAUGUUACGUGCAGAAGAUUCUGGUGUCGUGAUCUUUCACUUUUGCCCUGCAUCUAAUACUGAGGAUCAUUCAGCCAUGAUGAAACCAGCUGGAGGAAACUCUCUCCUGCAAGACAUGAAGGCCAAUGAUGGUAUGAAAGAUAUGGGGCUGCUUUGUCAUUUGUUGCUCCAUAUUCCAUAUGUUUGUCUGAUUGGUGUAGGGCAAGGUCUAUUUAUUAAGACGACAGCUUGUGUGAAUUGCAGGCAGCUGACAGCAAAAAAUGAAAGCACCCAGGAAGGCAAUGCAGUGACUGAGCAGAACAGCCUUAAGGGAACUUUUGGGGAUGCUGCGAAAACCCAACGAGGACAAUAGGGCUGGAGGGCUCAGCCUUCCCCAGAGCUGUGCUUUAGGAGACAGCUGUGAGACGAAGGGAAAAAAGGCCAUUUCUGGUAAAGCCAGCCAAUUACUGUUAAGCUAUCAGAACAAUACCAACAGGUAAAGUGGGUGAAGAAGCUAACUCUAGGAAAUACACGAACAUUCCUUCAGACAGAUGGAUCUUUCUAUAUAGGUCAAACUUUUGUUUUCUGCCAGCCCUCUUUCUCACUCCUAGGAUGAUGCCAGCUGCACCACACAGUACUGCUGCUCCCUCGCUCUUGAAAGAAAGCUUUUUCCAGGUGCCAAAUCCAAUCAGAACAAUGUAGGUAGCUCAGCUGAUGACAGGGAACCAGAGCCAACAUGCUGGGAGCAGUAAAAUGCACAGGCAGCUUCAGGAGUCUGCACCACCAGGAGACAAGACAGAGCAGCACCAGGACAUCCCUCCCAGCUCAAGCAACCUUCAGUAUCCCCAAGAGUGCCUGAAAAAUGUAAACGCAGACUAAAGCCAUUUUCUUUUGAGAUCAGCCCUUAAUGAGGCUCCUUGUUACCCACAACCUUGCUGCAGAAUAAAUGAGCCAGUUAAUGCACUGCAGGUAGAUCAGUGCACCAUUGUGCUACGAUUCAGUAGUUCAUGCUUACUACUCUUAAGGAAAAAUAUGAAUAAAUCAUUUAGCAAGAUUUCAUUCCCUUACCCUUUGCAAAGCCUACAAAUUAAUUCCUCAAUGGGCUUUUGUUCUAGCACUUAACCUGAGCUUUUCAGCUGAACCACUGCUCAUUUCUCAGUUCUUGUCUUAUUCUGCAAGAAAAUAGCUUUACAUUAUGCUGCCUACAGUGACUUCUGCCUCUGCUCUUGGUAUAGCUGCACCAGAUGGGUCAGAAUAAAAAACCAAACACGUAUUUGGGUGAGAUCUCUAACACCACAGUGGUUAAUUUUAUCAGAAAAAAACCUCUUUGCUCUUCACAGGACCAUGAGCAAGCACCACUACUGAAGUAUUUCCCUCAGGCUAGCUUUUACCAAGGCCAGAGAAAGUACAAAAAGUGGUUCACUUCUUCAAAAAGAAAGAGGGAAUUUAAAGUAUUUACUGUUUCACUUCCCUCCUCCAGUCUAUUUCUUCUCUCUACUGUUCUUUACGUAGUUGUUUGCUAUUCACUAUUGAGUCCAACCAACCUUUUUUAUAAUGUGCUGGUCCUGAUCGUUGUGGGAAGGAGGGCAUGGAGACUAACGGAGUAAUUACUUCCAGCCUUUUACUAGAAUCUGGCAGCUAGGAAAAGCUUCAGUAGUGUUUUUUCUUGUGACGUAGAAAAAAAACUAAAAAAGAAGCGGUGUUAGUUGGCCAAAAGCUUAGUGACUGAAGAAACUGGCUCCAAAUAUCCAUACCUCAGGGCAAAACCUGGCUUUCUCCAUCCCGGUUAGCUGAUGUUUUCACACGCUAAGCUGUAAAAUUGCUAAGCAGAGGAUUAGGGUUGUGGUUCCUUAGUAUGUAUGACACAUCAGGGCACUUUCGUGCCAUGGCAAGGAGGUAGAGUUGUAGCUAGGAGAUAUGUAAAAGUAAAAUUACAGCAGAAACAAUAAAGGUGGAGAGAAAAUGCUUUGCUCAUCAGCAAGCAUUACUGAGAUACUAGGUGGGAAAAAUGGCAGAAUCUUGAAUGUUGCCUGUUGUCACAGAUCUGGUGCUUUAAGUGUUGGGCUAGAAGCAAAAUGAGGCUGGGAGUGCCAGCAUUC